GGGGAGAUGAGGGUCUAACUGCAGUCGAGCGAACGAUGGGAGCUUGCUCCCUGAGAUUAGCGGCGGACGGGUGAGUAACACGUGGGCAACCUGCCUAUAAGACUGGGAUAACUUCGGGAAACCGGAGCUAAUACCGGAUACGUUCUUUUCUCGCAUGAGAGAAGAUGGAAAGACGGUUUACGCUGUCACUUAUAGAUGGGCCCGCGGCGCAUUAGCUAGUUGGUGAGGUAAUGGCUCACCAAGGCGACGAUGCGUAGCCGACCUGAGAGGGUGAUCGGCCACACUGGGACUGAGACACGGCCCAGACUCCUACGGGAGGCAGCAGUAGGGAAUCUUCCGCAAUGGACGAAAGUCUGACGGAGCAACGCCGCGUGAACGAAGAAGGCCUUCGGGUCGUAAAGUUCUGUUGUUAGGGAAGAACAAGUACCAGAGUAACUGCUGGUACCUUGACGGUACCUAACCAGAAAGCCACGGCUAACUACGUGCCAGCAGCCGCGGUAAUACGUAGGUGGCAAGCGUUGUCCGGAAUUAUUGGGCGUAAAGCGCGCGCAGGUGGUUCCUUAAGUCUGAUGUGAAAGCCCACGGCUCAACCGUGGAGGGUCAUUGGAAACUGGGGAACUUGAGUGCAGAAGAGGAAAGUGGAAUUCCAAGUGUAGCGGUGAAAUGCGUAGAGAUUUGGAGGAACACCAGUGGCGAAGGCGACUUUCUGGUCUGUAACUGACACUGAGGCGCGAAAGCGUGGGGGAGCAACAGGAUUAGAUACCCUGGUAGUCCACGCCGUAAACGAUGAGUGCUAAGUGUUAGAGGGUUUCCGCCCUUUAGUGCUGCAGCUAACGCAUUAAGCACUCCGCCUGGGGGAGUACGGCCCCAAGGCUGAAACUCAAAGGAAUUGACGGGGGCCCCGCACAGCCGGUGGAGCAUGUGGUUUAAUUCCAAACAACGCGAAGACCCUACCA
Molecule: ribosomal RNA, 956 nt
Filed under: Peribacillus simplex
Lineage: Bacteria; Bacillati; Bacillota; Bacilli; Caryophanales; Bacillaceae
Description: bacterial SSU rRNA
Rfam family: Bacterial small subunit ribosomal RNA
Source: RNAcentral